GUAGGUGGCAAGCGUUGUCCGGAAUUAUUGGGCGUAAAGCGCGCGCAGGCGGGGGUUUUUUAAGUCUGAUGUGAAAGCCCACGGGCUCAACCGUGGAGGGUCAUUGGAAACUGGAGAACUUGAGUACAGAAGAGGAAAGCGGAAUUCCACGUGUAGCGGUGAAAUGCGUAGAGAUGUGGAGGAACACCAGUGGCGAAGGCGGCUUUCUGGUCUGUAACUGACGCUGAGGCGCGAAAGCGUGGGGAGCAAACAGGAUUAGAUACCCUGGUAGUCCACGCCGUAAACGAUGAGUGCUAAGUGUUAGGGGGGUUUCCGCCCCUUAGUGCUGCAGCUAACGCAUUAAGCACUCCGCCUGGGGAGUACGGCCGCAAGGCUG
RNAcentral lists this ribosomal RNA (376 nucleotides) under uncultured organism. Its description in RNAcentral is "partial 16S ribosomal RNA". It matches the Rfam family "Bacterial small subunit ribosomal RNA", at positions 527 to 896 of the family's 1533-position model. The record is from RNAcentral.